GGACACUUCGAGGGGCUCGCGGCCUAUCAGCUAGUUGGUGAGGUAACGGCUCACCAAGGCGACGACGGGUAGCUGGUCUGAGAGGAUGGCCAGCCACAUUGGGACUGAGAAACGGCCCAG
RNAcentral lists this ribosomal RNA (120 nucleotides) under uncultured bacterium. Its description in RNAcentral is "partial 16S ribosomal RNA". It matches the Rfam family "Bacterial small subunit ribosomal RNA", at positions 215 to 334 of the family's 1533-position model. The record is from RNAcentral.